This 844-nucleotide ribosomal RNA is filed under the name uncultured bacterium. RNAcentral describes it as "bacterial SSU rRNA". It matches the Rfam family "Bacterial small subunit ribosomal RNA", at positions 1 to 831 of the family's 1533-position model. The record is from RNAcentral.
GGAUCCAGACUUUGAUCAUGGCUCAGAUUGAACGCUGGCGGCAGGCCUAACACAUGCAAGUCGAACGGUAACAGGAAACAGCUUGCUGUUUCGCUGACGAGUGGCGGACGGGUGAGUAAUGUCUGGGAAACUGCCUGAUGGAGGGGGAUAACUACUGGAAACGGUAGCUAAUACCGCAUAACGUCGCAAGACCAAAGAGGGGGACCUUCGGGCCUCUUGCCAUCGGAUGUGCCCAGAUGGGAUUAGCUAGUAGGUGGGGUAACGGCUCACCUAGGCGACGAUCCCUAGCUGGUCUGAGAGGAUGACCAGCCACACUGGAACUGAGACACGGUCCAGACUCCUACGGGAGGCAGCAGUGGGGAAUAUUGCACAAUGGGCGCAAGCCUGAUGCAGCCAUGCCGCGUGUAUGAAGAAGGCCUUCGGGUUGUAAAGUACUUUCAGCGGGGAGGAAGGGAGUAAAGUUAAUACCUUUGCUCAUUGACGUUACCCGCAGAAGAAGCACCGGCUAACUCCGUGCCAGCAGCCGCGGUAAUACGGAGGGUGCAAGCGUUAAUCGGAAUUACUGGGCGCAAAGCGCACGCAGGCGGUUUGUUAGGUCAGAUGUGAAAUCCCCGGGCUCAACCUGGGAACUGCAUCUGAUACUGGCAAGCUUGAGUCUCGUAGAGGGGGGUAGAAUUCCAGGUGUAGCGGUGAAAUGCGUAGAGAUCUGGAGGAAUACCGGUGGCGAAGGCGGCCCCCUGGGACGAAGACUGACGCUCAGGUGCGAAAGCGUGGGGGAGCAAACAGGAUUAGAUACCCUGGGUAGUCCACGCCGUAAAACGAUGUCGACUUGGAGGUUGUGCCC